AUUGAACGCUGGCGGAAUGCUUUACACAUGCAAGUCGAACGGCAGCACGGACUUCGGUCUGGUGGCGAGUGGCGAACGGGUGAGUAAUGUAUCGGAACGUGCCCAGUCGUGGGGGAUAACGUAGUGAAAAUUACGCUAAUACCGCAUACGAUCUAUGGAUGAAAGCGGGGGAUCGCAAGACCUCGCGCGAUUGGAGCGGCCGAUAUCAGAUUAGGUAGUUGGUGGGGUAAAGGCCCACCAAGCAAAAGAUCUGUAGCUGGACUGAGAGGACGCCCAGACACACGGGGACUGAGAAACGGUCCAGACUCCAACGGGAGUCAGCAGUGGGGAAUUUUGGACAGUGGGCGAAAGCCUGAUCCAGCCAUUCCGCGUGCAGGAUGAAGGCCCUCGGGUUGUAAACUGCUUUUGUACAGAACGAAAAGGUUUCUACUAAUACUAGGAGCUCAUGACGGUACUGUAAGAAUAAGCACCGGCUAACUACGUGCCAGCAGCCGCCGUAA
This 500-nucleotide ribosomal RNA is filed under the name uncultured bacterium. RNAcentral describes it as "partial 16S ribosomal RNA". It matches the Rfam family "Bacterial small subunit ribosomal RNA", at positions 30 to 523 of the family's 1533-position model. The record is from RNAcentral.